Molecule: long non-coding RNA, 482 nt
Filed under: Homo sapiens (human)
Lineage: Eukaryota; Metazoa; Chordata; Mammalia; Primates; Hominidae
Description: non-protein coding ZBTB46-AS1:6
Source: RNAcentral
AUGGGCAUAGGUGCAGUGAGUGCAGGUGAGCACAGGUGCAGUGAGUGCAGGUGCAGGUGGGCGCAGGUCCAGUGGGUGCAGGUGCAGUGGGCACAGGUACAGUGGACACAGGUGGGCACAGGUGCAGUGGGUGCAGGUACAGUGGGCACAGGUGCAGUGGGUGCAGGUACAGUGGGCGCAGGUGCAGUGGGCACAGGUGGGCACAGGUGCAGUGGGCGCAGGUGGGCACAGGUGCGGUGGGUGCAGGUGCGGUGGGCGCAGGUGCAGUGGGCACAGGUGGGCACAGGUGCAGUGGGCGCAGGUGCAGUGGGCGCAGGUGGGCGCAGGUGCAGUGGGUGCAGGUGCAGUGGGUGCAGGUGCGAGUGGGCACAGGUGCAGAUUGGGAGGCACAAGCAGCCGCAACACUCAGCCACCCACCCCGUGUCUCUCCUCACAGGCUCACAUCACCCAAGAUACUCAAAGCAUCUCCCCCAUCUGCAUAA